AGAGCGAACGCUGGCGGCAGGCUUAACACAUGCAAGUCGAACGGACUCUUCGGAGUUAGUGGCGGACGGGUGAGUAACACGUGGGAACGUGCCUUUAGGUUCGGAACAACACAGGGAAACUUGUGCUAAUACCGGAUAAGCCUUUCGAGGGAAAGAUUUAUCGCCUUUAGAGCGGCCCGCGUCUGAUUAGCUAGUUGGUGAGGUAAAGGCUCACCAAGGCUACGAUCAGUAGCUGGUCUGAGAGGAUGGCCAGCCACAUUGGGACUGAGACACGGCCCAAACUCCUACGGGAGGCAGCAGUGGGGAAUCUUGCGCAAUGGGCGAAAGCCUGACGCAGCCAUGCCGCGUGGAUGAUGAAGGUCUUAGGAUUGUAAAAUCCUUUCAGCGGGGACGAUAAUGACGGUACCCGCAGAAGAAGCCCCGGCUAACGUUCGCGCCAGCAGCCGC
RNAcentral lists this ribosomal RNA (447 nucleotides) under uncultured bacterium. RNAcentral describes it as "SSU rRNA". It matches the Rfam family "Bacterial small subunit ribosomal RNA", at positions 26 to 518 of the family's 1533-position model. The record is from RNAcentral.